RNAcentral lists this ribosomal RNA (497 nucleotides) under uncultured bacterium. RNAcentral describes it as "partial 16S ribosomal RNA". It matches the Rfam family "Bacterial small subunit ribosomal RNA", at positions 28 to 507 of the family's 1533-position model. The record is from RNAcentral.
GAUGAACGCUGGCGGCGUGCCUAAUACAUGCAAGUCGAGCGAACAGACGAGGAGCUUGCUCCUCUGACGUUAGCGGCGGACGGGUGAGUAACACGUGGAUAACCUACCUAUAAGACUGGGAUAACUUCGGGAAACCGGAGCUAAUACCGGAUAAUAUAUUGAAUCGCAUGGUUCAAUAGUGAAAGACGGUUUUGCUGUCACUUAUAGAUGGAUCCGCGCCGCAUUAGCUAGUUGGUAAGGUAACGGCUUACCAAGGCAACGAUGCGUAGCCGACCUGAGAGGGUGAUCGGCCACACUGGAACUGAGACACGGUCCAGACUCCUACGGGAGGCAGCAGUAGGGAAUCUUCCGCAAUGGGCGAAAGCCUGACGGAGCAGCGCCGCGUGAGUGAUGAAGGUCUUCGGAUCGUAAAACUCUGUUAUUAGGGAAGAACAAAUGUGUAAGUAACUAUGCACGUCUUGACGGUACCUAAUCAGAAAGCCACGGCUAACUACGUG